RNAcentral lists this ribosomal RNA (491 nucleotides) under uncultured bacterium. RNAcentral describes it as "partial 16S ribosomal RNA". It matches the Rfam family "Bacterial small subunit ribosomal RNA", at positions 29 to 506 of the family's 1533-position model. The record is from RNAcentral.
AGUGAACGCUGGCGGUAGGCCUAACACAUGCAAGUCGAACGGCAGCACAGUAAGAGCCUGCUCUUACGGGUGGCGAGUGGCGGACGGGUGAGGAAUACAUCGGAAUCUACUUUUUCGUGGGGGAUAACGUAGGAAAACUUACGCUAAUACCGCAUACGACCUACGGGUGAAAGCAGGGGAUCUUCGGACCUUGCGCGAUUGAAUGAGCCGAUGUCGGAUUAGCUAGUUGGCGGGGUAAAGGCCCACCAAGGCGACGAUCCGUAGCUGGUCUGAGAGGAUGAUCAGCCACACUGGAACUGAGACACGGUCCAGACUCCUACGGGAGGCAGCAGUGGGGAAUAUUGGACAAUGGGCGCAAGCCUGAUCCAGCCAUACCGCGUGGGUGAAGAAGGCCUUCGGGUUGUAAAGCCCUUUUGUUGGGAAAGAAAAGCAGCAGGUUAAUACCCCGCUGUUCUGACGGUACCCAAAGAAUAAGCACCGGCUAACUUCGU